RNAcentral lists this ribosomal RNA (464 nucleotides) under uncultured bacterium. RNAcentral's name for it is "bacterial SSU rRNA". It matches the Rfam family "Bacterial small subunit ribosomal RNA", at positions 28 to 521 of the family's 1533-position model. The record is from RNAcentral.
GAUGAACGCUGGCGGAGUGCCUAACACAUGCAAGUCGAGCGGCAGCGCGAGUAGUUUACUACUUGGCGGCGAGCGGCGGACGGCUGAGUAACGCGUGGGAACAUGCCCCGAAGUGAGGAAUAACUGCCCGAAAGGGUAGCUAAUGCCGCAUACGAUCUUCGGAUUAAAGGAUUUAUCCGCUUUGGGAGUGGCCUGCGUACGAUUAGAUAGUUGGUGAGGUAAUGGCUCACCAAGUCUACGAUCGUUAACUGGUUUGAGAGGAUGAUCAGUCAGACUGGAACUGAGACACGGUCCAGACUCCUACGGGAGGCAGCAGUGAGGAAUCUUCCACAAUGGACGAAAGUCUGAUGGAGCAACUCCGCGUGCAGGAUGAAGGCCUUCGGGUCGUAAACUGCUUUAUGAGUGAAGAAUAUGACGGUAACUCAUGAAUAAGGGUCGGCUAACUACGUGCCAGCAGCCGCGGU